Long non-coding RNA from Cavia porcellus (domestic guinea pig), 1161 nucleotides. RefSeq lists it as uncharacterized. NCBI's taxonomy places the organism in Eukaryota, Metazoa, Chordata, Mammalia, Rodentia, Caviidae. The record is from RefSeq and is a predicted model, not a curated record. The transcript has 4 exons.
GAAAGUUUGCCUUUCACUAAGACAUCAGGACUAGUGUCUUCUUGAAGGAAAAGUAGAGUUCUGAGCCAAGGAAAAAAUCAUCAGGGAAGAAUUUAGAGGGUAACAGAUUCUCAACUCCCACCGCUUUUGAAAAGAAACACUUUGACCUUAUCCAAGUUUCUAAACGUGCACUUAUCAAGUAUGGUUGGAAAACUACGCUGCUGACAUUCACAAGUGGUUCUUGGAUCAGAACAGUGCGAAAGUCACUGCCAAAUCAAAAUACAGGAAGAACGUGAAAUGUGCUUAAGCCAGAACACGAACACGAGGAGACACUUUGGAAGACUCUUUUCCAGCCCUAUCACAGUGAUGAGGCAAGAGUAGGUGUGGCCAGGAAGACAAGAGGAGUGCAAGGCAGAUUCAAGAGAAAAGAAGGUGGAAAACACUUCCAACCUGCAUUGCUCAGCUGCUCCCCAGCCCUCAGGUGCCCCUGACCUGACACUUUUUGCAACUCCCUUCUUUGGAUCCUUUGUUUGCAGGAACCUGCUGGAAUAGAUGUCUACCAUUUUAGGUCUGUAUCUCUGGUUUCCUGGUGUUUCCUGCUGGACAUGCUUUGUUGCUUUUUAAAACAGGCAAAUACAAACUUUUAUCGAGGGGGCACAGAAUGCAAAGUUUUUGUCCUUGUUGACCGGUCAUGGUUCCUAGCAAUAUAAACACUUACAAAAAUAAAGUCCAUAAAGACUGUGUUUACCUUAGGGAAGGAGGGAAGCGAAUCAGGUCUGCAAGCCAGAGACAGCAAGCGCUUUGUUUCAUAUUGGACCUAGCAAGAAGGGAAACUUGCCAGAACUGAGGCCAGCAAAUUAAUUCAUGAUUCUCAGAAGACAAGAAGUACUCAAGUUAAUUGGAUGUAAUCAUACGGGUUUAUGAAUAUGAAUAUUUCUCUAGUUUCCAAGAAUGCCUCGAUUUCCAACAAUCCUUGGAUACUCCAUUUCUAGGCCCUAGUUACUCUGAGGACCUUGGUUUGAUGUUUUAGCUCUUAGCAGGAGAGGGAUCUUUCAGUAAGAAGGAAAUAGAAAAUCCUGCUGCCCCUAGGGUGGGGAUGAUGAGGAAAGCUGAAUAUGUAUCAGAAUAUCUUCUGCCCUGGAAAUCGAGGGACAUACAAAGUAAGUGACUUUGAAUGUUAAU